RNAcentral lists this long non-coding RNA (6952 nucleotides) under Canis lupus familiaris (dog). RNAcentral describes it as "lncRNA (ENSCAFG00845003932.1)". The record is from RNAcentral. Lineage: Eukaryota; Metazoa; Chordata; Mammalia; Carnivora; Canidae.
UUUUUUUGUAUGCAUCCACUCUACACAUAUAUAUACACAUACACACACAGACACCCCCAAAACAAGCUUAGUAUGAGCCAGAUCCAUUUCUUUAUCUCUAAAACAAAGAUUCAUUACAUGAUUUUCCUACUGGAUAGAAGUAUCAUCUAGGAAUUUAAGAAAGCUACACUUGGCUACAUUCAGCUCUAUUCCAGAAUUAGGUGAGCAAGGCACAGCAAUCUGAGCUCCACCUCCACUAAGGACUUGAGCUUUCUUCUGUAUUCUCAUCUACAUCCACCACAGCAGUAGCCCUCCAGUCAUCAACUGGGAUUCGUUUUAUAGCCUCUGAAUGCAAGCUUCUUCUACCAUGCCUCCCUCCCAAGGAACUGGAAAGACAAAUGAGACAGAUCUCCUGCCCACAUGAAAUCCUAACAGCAUAGGGCAGACUUCCAUCUGUUUAGUGGAGUUUAUUAUUUAAUUAGUAUGGGGGGCUUUGAGGAAAAAUAAGUAGGGUUAGCAAAACAACAAUAACUUUCAGCUAACAGAAACUUAUAUCCUUGUUUAUGUCCAGCUUUUACUCUUUAAUAUAUUUUUUCAAACUGACAUGUAAAUCAGCCAAAUUUUAUUAUAAUCAUCUGAAAUGAAUGUUUUCUUAUGGUUUACCAUGAACACAUUAUGAUGCCACCGCUACAACUGUUUAUCUGAUAUCACCUUGGGUGAAACCCCAGAAACAGCUUUCAUCCUAUAGUCCAGCCUAUCCGUGUUGCUCAACAGAAGGAAUGUCUACCUUUCCUCUACUGAAACUAUCUCACCAUCCCAAUGUGCUUGCCACCCAGUGUGUCUUUGCACUACUGAUGAACUCCAGGAAGCAUCAUAAUAUGAUGCUCUCGUCCAAAGGUUGAUCUGUUACCUAAUACUUGAUUCUCUAAAGCAUCAUUUGGCAGAGUUCUUUACAUACCAUGCUUGCAGAUAUUCUGCUAAUGAAACUCACCCUCAUGUAAAAUAUCAGAAUUAGAAAGCCCAACCACUAAUUUUAUUAAUUAGUUAUGAAUACAAAAUUGUGCUGAGGCGCAUACAAACUAUGAAAUUCCCAACUCAGCUGAUUAGAAAGAUGUUAUCCUUUAAAACAAGAAAAAGAAAUACCCAUAAAGCCGCACUUAGAACAGAAAGCAUAAUUGGCUUGCUAACUAGAAAAUAGAUGUCACUUAAAAAAAAAAAAAAAAGAAAGAAAAUAGAUGUCACUGUAAUCAGGAAAAUACAUGUUUUUUUUUUUAAGACAAAUAAAGUAUAACAUGUAUUUCCUGAAAAGUGAUUUUUUUUCAAACUAUACUGCUGAACUGUAUUCUGUUGUUAUAUAAGCCUUUGUAUAUCAACUCUGUGUCAAGUAACUAUAACAAUGCAAAUCAGUUAAUGAAGCUUCAAAAAAAUCGAUCUGGGAAUAUCAUAGGGAAAAAACUGUUUUUCAUCUACUUAAGCAACUCAGUAACUGUAUCUUGAUUACCAAGUCAAUGUUAGUACAGUAUUUCCCCCAGAAUCUGAUUAGCCUGGAGGUCUUUAGGUAAACACAUGAAACUUUUCAUUGUUGCGAUCAAAAUUUUAUAGAGGAGCUAAUAACAGAAAUUUCAACUCUGCGUUUUAAUGAAAAAGAUGCCCUAGUUUACCAAAAUAAAACACAAAUUAGAAGAAAGAGAUGCCAAUCUGAUGUCUUUUGGUGAAAACCAGCAGGUUGCAAUAGUAGUACUUCACAUACCUACUGUUCUACAGAUUUAAGGUGAGAAAUCAUGGCAACAUAUUCUUCUAAAGUUUGUGUGUUUGGUUGGUUGCUUUUUUGACCUGCCCACCUCAUCACUCUAAGGUAAGAGAUCAUGUAGUCAUAGCCACUUUUAAUCUUUGGUUUGUGUAUUUUCUGUUUUAUAACAUUCCCAUCACAUACUCUAAGUCUUUACGUCUUUGGUUCUCUAAAUUCUGCCAGUGUUCCUUUCCUAGGAGUUGAGGAAUUAAAGACAAUAGCCAAUAAUAGGUUUGAGCAGUUUCCCAUAAGACACUCAUUAAAAAAAAAAAAAAAAGUUUCAUAGGUUCUUAAAAAUCUCAGGAAUGAAAUGAAAUUUAAGCUUAUUCAACCCAGGCACUCUAAUAAUCCUCACUAAGCAGUUAACCUCAAAACAUCUGCAGUGGCAUAGCUCAUGACUUUUUAAUCACAGCCCAUCCAAUUUUCAGCUGAUUCUGACUACCAAAGCAAAAUUUGAUUCCCAAAUCUCCUACCCAGUGAACUUAACACUACACUUGAGAACUCCCCCUAAAGGGGUAGGGGAGGUCAGCCUUUUCUUUCUCAUCAGGUUUGAAUUUUAAGUAUUCAAAGACAGCAAAUAUUAUGUAUAUUUAAUCUUAUCAUUAUGCUAAGUGUCCAUUUCCUUUAGUUUUUUCUGUUAUGAUUUCAAGUGCCUACAUCUGAACACCCACUUCUUUGGGGACCAAGAGAGACUUAGAGUCUGGACUGGACCAGGGGAUGGUAACAACCCUAAAUGGCUAUAUGUAGGACAGCUCUAAGCCAAAUCCUUUCAGGAGAACUAAGAAGCUAAGUCUGUGAUAACCAAUAUCAAUGACAACUCUCAAAUCACAGGAGGAUUAAUAAGAACAGGCAAACAUAAGAAUAGAUUGGAGAUACCCAAGAGGAGGAUGUGGAAUGCAUUCACGUGUUGGUGGUUCAUCUUUAUCAAGCAGUUGUGUGGGCAUGUGAAGGACUACAUCAAAACCUGCACACAACAAUAAAAGGUACACAUCCCGGGGCAUGCUCAUAAGGUAAUAAAAGUCCCUUUCACUGUCAAUGGCCUAAUAUCAUAAGGGUAACAAAUAUAUAACUGUUUAGACUGCAAGAAGAUAUAAAGCAUGAUAGCACAUGAACACAAUAUUAAUCAUUUAAAUGGCUUAUUAAGUUAUAAUUUAUCUUCUGAGACAAUGUAAAAAUUGCAAAAUUUUAAACAAAAACUUAGAAUAAACUAGAACACACUCCAUAGAGAAAAGCAGCUCUCCCUCAGACUGUGCCAUUAGCAACUUUGUAAUAGCCCAAACUGGAAACAACCCAGAAGGCCAUAAACAGGAAUGGAUCAACCAACUGGUAAAACUGUACAAUAUAAUACUACACAGGAGGGGGAAAAUAAACUAAUGUGGCUGAAUCUCAAAAAUGUGUCUAGUUAAAAAAAAAAAAAGAAGAGUAUAUACUGUAUGAUUCUAAUUAUAGGAAAUUGCAGAAAAGGCAGAAUUCUAGUAUGAAAAGGUGGAUCACUUGUUGUCAAGUUCAGGGUUAGGAAGGUGUGAAUUAACGUCACCGGGGCAUGAGGGGACUUUUGGGGGUGACAGAAGUAUUCUAUAUAUUGAUUAUGAUGGAGGUCAUAAGUGAGUCUAUGUGUCAAAAUUCACUGAACUGUACACUUAAAAUAAGUGCAUUUUAUCAUCUAAAUUGUAUAUCAUUAAAAUUGAUUUUUUAAAAAAAGCUAUCAGAAAACCAGCUAGAUAACUCUUAAACUCCUUGCCCAUUCAGGGUAUAAAAGGCCAAGGGUGAAGAUAGCUCUAUCUAUCAAAAAAAGUAGUAAAAAACGUUGAAUGCUGUGAACCCUAAUCAUCCUUAAAAAAAAAAAAUCUAGGGAAGUUAUGUCUUUCCUUGCCUUAUAUCUGGUGAAAAAGCUUCAAAAGGACUACUCAGAAAACCUAAUAACUGCUUUUUCAGAAUGGAAGAGAAAUGGACUUGAUGUCAGACUCACACUUGAGAAAUCUAAGGCCGAAAACUUUUGAUGGCAGAGCAAAGGUAAGGUAGCAAAUUAGUGAUUUAUCCUACCUAAAAUGCCAUUAGGACAAACUAUUCUGUGGCAUUUUCUGGGAGCUAAGAGAGCACUAGAGUGGGGACAUUUUAGGUCUUGUCUAAGAGAGUAGACCAAAAAGAUAAAGGGUCCUCAGCAGAAAUGCAGCUAGAUGUGAAGGGUUGAAUUCUCAGGAGCUGAAGAAGUGGUUCAGAGACAAGAUGCACCUUCCCUUGUCAAGGUUACCCUAGAUAAGAGGUCUCCACAAAAUGGAGAGUCUCUAAAGAACUUUAAGUCCCACAGCAGAGAUCAUCAUACUUAAAUACACACCAAGUUCAGAGAGCAUGAGGGCAGUUUUUGUAGUACCAGUGAAGGGAAAAUGUUACUGCCCUUCUUUCUUACAUCAUCAUUCACCCUCCAUUCCACUCCAAUCCCAGAGGAAUCCAAAAUCAUGGUUAAUAGGCAGAGAGGGAACAGUAAAACACAAAGACAUAAAAAAAGAAAAGAAGCUGUCCAGACAGUCCCUUAAUAACUACAUGCCUCCAACAAAUAGAAAGUUUGAGCUCAGGGGCAUUUCUGACUGUAAGUCAAGUGUGCACUUUUGACAACUGUAUAGAAUUAGGUAAUUAAUUUCUGAACCAGUACUAUUCAUGUUAGAUAUGAAUAACCAGAAAAGUUGAGCACCUUCCUGACUUCCUUAAGAGUUGCAGGAAAAUAAAUAUUCCCACCAAGUGAAAUUCAAAAGAGAAAGGAAGACAAAAGUAAAAUUGGUACUAUAGGGGCACAUCUGGGUGGCCCAGCCGAUUGAUAAUCCAACUUAGUCUCCUACAGAGACUAAGCACUAAGUCUCUCUCUUCUCACUGAAGUAUUCUGUCAAAUUAGUUUAACCUGACCAUCUCUACACUCAAAGUCAAAGGCUUUUUGUCUUCUGCACACAAUAUUCAGUAAUUAGUUGUUGAAUAAAGCAUUAAGUGAAUAAGUAUAAUCAAACAUACCUAUUUCUAAUGCCACCAUUGAUAUAAGGUUUUAUAGUUCUUUUUACUUACUACUAAAUUUGAGUAUAGGAUUAGAUAAAACAUCAUAUUUGCCAUUCAUUAAGCAUCAAUUCUCUAUGGUUGUCAUUUAAAAAAAAAGUCUAUCCUCAUUUUGCUAAGCAAAAAGAAAUGAACAGAAAUAGAAAUGCAGAUUUAUUCACUUAUCAUUUAUCAAAUACUCAACUUUAUACUGAUCUGUCAGGGCUCAAUUCUGUCUAUCCAACACACAGUGGCUUAGGCCCAAAGUGAAGAUAUCGACUUAAAUGACUGAAAAGGCCCUGACAAAAUAGCUUUGAGUUAUGGUUCAUUAAAACCACCAGGACCAAGUUACUCUUUCCCUUUUGCCAAAUUUUGUUUCUUUUGGCAUAGAUCCAUCCUCAGAGGCCUCUUCUCUUAUAGCAGAAACAUGGCUACAAAGUGUCCUGUGAUACAUCCUUUCAAGUUAAAGUCUAGAGGCAAGAUAGAGCCUACUUCCUUGGUACCAUUUGUUUUUAAAGUCCCAGAAUUUAGUGCCUUUGGAUAAAGGGUUAAUAAAAUAAUUUCCCUCACCACAUGAGAUUCUGACAAUUGGUCAGAUAUCUAGCUCUCCUAGCCAAUUGAUGACAGUCAAGGGUCGACUAUUUUGUUAGGCGUUUCUACAAUAAAAGUGAUCCUUGAUUACUUAGAGGAACUCUAAAUCAACAAAAUAGCUGAUGAGAUUGCCAUGCUUUGGGCUUCCCUGAGUUUAGUGACUCUUAUAACUGGUACUUCCUUUGCAGAGACCCUGGAAGCUAAGCUUAUGCAUUCAUUCCAAAGAUACUGGCUUGUAUAGGGCAUUACUUCAUCACUUGUACAGUGUAAAUCUUGUUUUCUUGCACCUGAGCCAUACUGCUAUUCUAGACUGCUGCAAGUACUCUUGCAGAGAAAGAAUGUCUACUGCCACAGGCAAGCUGUGCUUCCUUUCCUAUAACCUUCUGAGUAGUCUAGUAGUUAGGGGUGACAUAAGCAAGUGAGUUUAAAUGUUUAGCUCAAAAGACCCUGAUAGGUAUUACAGUGCCCAUCUCUGAAACAAUAACUGUAACAAGGGGAAUAGAAAUGACUGAUUGGAAUAACCUCAGAUUACAUGUUCCAACCCUGGAACAAAGAGAUGUUGAGCUUCUUCAUCCAAUGUACAGGGGCUGCAAGUGAAGUAGGACUGGUUCCCCUGAAGCCCAGAUUUCUUUACCAAAAGAAGAAUGAAAUGCCCAGCAACCAACCCAGUAAAUAUUUGCUAUGUAAUUGACUCCUUCCUCCAUACCAUAUCAAAGCCCAUGGGAUUCAAAUUCUUGCUUCAACCAAAUGACCAAUAAGUACAUGUCAGGAACCUAUGAUUCAAGUAAUCAAAAAAAAGUUGCAUGUUUAAAAUAGCAAAUGCUAAAAAUCUACAAUAAGCCAUUGUUGUACCUCUUUUAAAUGAUAAUCUACAACUGAAUUUUGGCCUACUAUUAAUAGGGGGUCCCAAAGGAUUCAGCAAUUAUCAAAAUCCCCUGAUGUCUUUGUUAGAUAUUUUUUUACUGUUUUCCUUCCAAAUUGUUUAAAGUGAAAAAAUUGAAAUUAAUUCCCAUCCAAGAGACAGUUAAACACAGUUAAAAGCACAAACUCUAAAUGAAGAAUAUACAGGCUUGAAGCCUGCUCCCUCUAACUUGCUGAUUUUGUGCAAAGUUUAGUUCAAUCUAUGUUUCUCCUAGGACACCUGGGUGGUUCGGCGGUUGGGCAUCUGCCUUCAUCUCAGGGCGUGAUCUCGGGAUUCGGGACUGAGUCCUACAUUGGGCUGCCAGGGGCCUGCUUCUCCCUCUGCCUGUGUCUCUACCUGACUCUCUUCUCUCUCUUUCUGUGUCUCUCAUGAAUAUAUAAAAUAUUUUUUUAAAAAUCUAUGUUUCUCAGUUUGUCAAUUUGGAAAAUGGAGAGGAUAUCCACCUCAAUGGGUAAUUUUGAGGAGUAAAUAAGUAAAAAUAUAUGUAAAACACAAUGACACCUAACACGAAGAAGAAGCAAGUAUUACUCAAUAUUAUUAUCCUCAUCCCUGAAUUUUGAUAUAUGUAAUCCACAUCUCAACAGGACAUUUUUUUCCUACUUUAAGAGAAUGACUACAUGUAAUAAAAAAAAAAUUGUGACUUUGGGAGAAAU